Molecule: long non-coding RNA, 1023 nt
Organism: Amphiprion ocellaris (clown anemonefish)
Lineage: Eukaryota; Metazoa; Chordata; Actinopteri; Pomacentridae
Exons: 3
Source: RefSeq, a predicted model, not a curated record
CAACACCAGGUGUUAAACACCUGACAGAAUGACAAAGAUCUAUGUAGAUGAAGCGGAAUGCUUGUCGGGCUAACUGGUAGCACAAUGAGUAAAACGAACGGAAAAUCCAAUUACCAGAUCCGUACACGGACCCACCACACACACCUUUGACACACUUCCACACAUUAGUUGAGGAGCCGCGAAAACCUGGUCGAGCCAAACUAUUUUACAUCUGGAGCAAAGCUCUCCAGCAAACUACAGCGUCGGAUGAAGAGUCCAGCCACUCGUCUGGCCCGGUUCUGCCACCAGCGCGGAUGAAGCCGAUCUUAUCGAAGGAAUUGAUCAUCCCAGUGACAUCAUUUACAAUGUUGGGAAGGAGGAGGAGGAGGAAGAGGAGAGAAUGGAGGUCUCCUGCUGUCCUGGUACCCAGCGAGAGGUAGAGGGACAGACCGGCCUCCAGCCAGGAGACGCUGCAGCAGCCGCUCCACCAGCGAGCGCUCCGGGCCAGAGGCGCUCCCUACAGCUGGCUGGAAAACUGAGAAGGAACCUGACAGCUUACCUUCUCUGCCACAUUUCCUGCCUGCCGAAAAGGAGGCCAGGUGUCCAGCCACCUCUGUCAGAAUAUGUGGACAGCCCUUCUCCAUCAGACCUGUCCAAGUACUUGGACCAGGAGACCAUCAAAAUACUGUUUCUGAUUCAACUCAGUAACAACGAUUUUCUUUUAUUUUCAAAUGCACUUUUUAUGGUCUGACCAUGGUUUUGUACAUAAAAUAUGUGUGUUCAUAAGUAUCUGGCACACUUAAAAUUUGAUUGCACUAUUGUAAAUCAUUUGUUUUGAUGCUGACGUUGUCUCUGCAAAUUUUUGUUUAUUUUCGUUUUUUUUUACAGGUUACAAAAUUGACCAUAUCUCAAAAAGCAAAUUAUGUACAGACUCCAAAUAAAUGUCUUGUGGUUCCAAAGGAUAUUGUGCAACUUUUUUACAUUUACAAAUUUGAGGGAUACAGCUAUGCAGUUUCUGUAUUUUGAAAUAUAUGUGAAAAAAAC